GAUAGAUUGAAGUGAAGUCCUUAAGAGUAUUUACAGAUUGGCUUUUCUAUUCAUAUUCUUCAGGAGUUAGCAGGAUGCACAGCACACAUGCCUGUGCCAAAGGGGCCAUCCACUAUCCUGUGAAUAUGGCAACCUAAAUCACAGAAAGGAUCAGCAGCAAACAAUAUUUUCUUAAACUCCAAACGUACAUGAACCUCUGGUAUAGGGAAACAAAUGUCUCUUCCUCUCUUAGUGCCAUGGGAAAACAUGUGACAAUGUAAACUCACAGUUGAAACAAGCUCAGUGGGAGUUGUAAAGGAAAAGGGCAGGCCAGAUUUAUCAGAAGAAUAUGCAACAUAUAUUGAACGUUAGUCUUUCCAAGUUGUUAACAGUGUUUAGUACAAAUGUUUCUCUUUAAAGAAUCAGAUGUUCCUCCUUUUUAUUUUUCAAUGCCUCCAGGAUGGUAAAGCUGGUGCCAUAAAGUCAUUGCAAGGGACAGCAAACAACUUUGUUAUUGUAACGGGCUUUCUUUAAACAAUAGGUGUAGCAGGUGGCAUGUGGCUACAACUGGGUCUAUCACCAUCUCCAGGGUGCCAAGAUGUCCCUCAAAGUUUCUGUGGGAGGAAUUUGUUGGUGGGAUUUGGAUUGUAAAGGCACGCGAGCAUCUGCUGCCUACCCGGUCUCAUUACCAUUCACACAAUUAACUCCUGCCGCUCUCAGCCCAGCAGCCAGGACCACGGACUCGGUUUUACUGCUUCUUCCACAAUACUCAUUAUCAUUCAUCUGGACUUCGAGUUCUUCUUCUUUCAACUCUGGGGAAAGUUUGCUUGGAAAAUUGAUCACAUGCAGAAAGAGGCUUGUCAUGGAGAGAGAAGAAAGAGAAAAAAUGCUUCUAAGAACCUGAAUGGCUGCCGUCUGGCCCGUGCCUUGGGUAAAGGUGGAAGCUCUGAGAUUUUGAUUUUUACUACUUUCUGAAAAAAAUCAUGCUUCUUUGCAUUAAGACUGACCAUCUUCAGUGAAGGCUCCUAAUAUAUUUGUUUCAAUAAAACUAGUUUAUUUAUUCUAACUUUCAAUUCUACUUUUUUGGUCAUCCCAAAGCACUUUGGCCAAGAAGCCAAACUCUCUGAUAAACUC
Non-coding RNA from Phascolarctos cinereus (koala), 1113 nucleotides. Lineage: Eukaryota; Metazoa; Chordata; Mammalia; Diprotodontia; Phascolarctidae. The record is from RefSeq and is a predicted model, not a curated record.